CCUACGGGAGGCAGCAGUGAGGAAUAUUGGUCAAUGGCCGGAAGGCUGAACCAGCCAUGCCGCGUGAAGGUCAGUGCCCUAUGGGCGUUAAACUUCUUUUGUGCGGGAGCAAUAAUGGUCACGUGUGGCCAGACGAGAGUACCGUACGAAUAAGCAUCGGCUAACUCCGUGCCAGCAGCCGCGGUAAUACGGGGGAUGCAAGCGUUAUACGGAUUUAUUGGGUGUAAAGGGGUCGUAGGCUGUGAGGUAAGUCAUCGGUGAAAUGCCCACGCUCAAGGGGGUGAAGUGCGAUUGAUACUGCCGUGCUGGAAUGCGGAUGCCGUGGGAGGAAUGUGUGGUGUAGCGGUGAAAUGCAUAGAUAUCACACAGAACACCGAUUGCGAAGGCAUCUCACGAAUCCGCGAUUGACGCUGAUGCACGAAAGCGUGGGUAUCAAACAGGAUUAGAUACCCUAGUAGUC
RNAcentral lists this ribosomal RNA (460 nucleotides) under uncultured bacterium. RNAcentral describes it as "partial 16S ribosomal RNA". It matches the Rfam family "Bacterial small subunit ribosomal RNA", at positions 338 to 795 of the family's 1533-position model. The record is from RNAcentral.